GACGAACGCUGGCGGCGUGCUUAACACAUGCAAGUCGAACGGAAAGGCCCUGCUUUUGUGGGGUGCUCGAGUGGCGAACGGGUGAGUAACACGUGAGUAACCUGACCUUGACUUUGGGAUAACUUCAGGAAACUGGGGCUAAUACCGGAUAGGAGCUCCUGCUGCAUGGUGGGGGUUGGAAAGUUUCGGCGGUAGGGGAUGGACUCGCGGCUUAUCAGCUUGUUGGUGGGGUAGUGGCUUACCAAGGCUUUGACGGGUAGCCGGCCUGAGAGGGUGACCGGCCACAUUGGGACUGAGAUACGGCCCAGACUCCUACGGGAGGCAGCAGUGGGGAAUAUUGCACAGUGGGCGGAAGCCUGAUGCAGCAACGCCGCGUGCGGGAUGACGGCCUUCGGGUUGUAAACCGCUUUCGCCUGUGACGAAGCGUGAGUGACGGUAAUGGGUAAAGAAGCGCCGGCUAACUACGUG
RNAcentral lists this ribosomal RNA (468 nucleotides) under uncultured bacterium. RNAcentral describes it as "partial 16S ribosomal RNA". It matches the Rfam family "Bacterial small subunit ribosomal RNA", at positions 28 to 507 of the family's 1533-position model. The record is from RNAcentral.